CUCAAUUUCAUGAAUAGAGAGUUAACUCGUUCAAGGCAGUGAAGUAUUGGAUAAGAUCAAUGACAUGGUUGUGAAUAAAGUAAAUCUCAAGUAAUUGAUCAUUAAGCAUUCAAAACUUGUCAAUCUAAUUUAACAUGAUUAAGCUAUUCAGGUAUAAUCCACUUUGCUCGCUUGGAAGGGAUUUUUUUGGAUAAGGUGACCUUCAGUCGAAAGGCACAUGUCUUUUCUUUUUGCUUCGCUCAUUAUAUUUCGCGAUAGAUCACGAAGUUUUAAAUAUUGUGUCUGCUUGUGACUUUAUUUACUUUUGGCAAAAUUGUCAAUAACUUCCCUGUGGUUUUGAAAUUCAACGUAAAUUCCCCGUUACUUUAAAAAUUGCAUGGCGCCACCUUAUACUUUUAAAAAUAUUGCAUGAAAACCCUUUUUAUAUUUUUGUGUGAAAGAAGAUUUCCUAUCUAUAAAAUUUACACGGUGGGGGGUUUCAUGCAAUAUUUUUAAAUGUAUAAGGUGGAACAAUGCAAUUUUUAAAGUAUAAGAGAAUUUACGAUAAGUUUUGAAACCACAUGAGAGUUAUGAGCAAUUUUGCCUUUAACUUGUUAUCCCAACUAUAGGCCUUUUCAGUCCUUUUAAUAAUAAUUCCUCCCCACCUUUCUUACAUCGCUUCUCAAACAAUAUUUAAAGACUUCUUACUUCAAUGUCAUCUUAUAUAAACUAAGUCGAUAGAAAAAAAUUUGUUUGCCCUACUAAGUAUGGAAUAAUUGAAACGAAAGAGGCACUAACCUUUUCAAGUCAUACCAAUAGUUACUUGGUUUAACUCAAUAUUCACAUUAUUGACAAAGUUAAAGAAAAAAUUAUUAAGUUCAACGCUUGCAAGUAAUCUAACUUUACUCUAAAAUAUAUCAAAAGCCUAGCUCAACAAUAUAUUAAAAGAAUUUAGAGUAAUUACACAUGCUUGUAAUUAUAAUAGGCAUCAGUAUUGAUAAAUUCAACUUGUUACCAAAAUUGGUCGUGUCAUUGAUCAUAAAAAAAAAUUGUACAUGCCCGUCAUUCUUUAACAAAAAUUGCUAGUAGCUGGGGAAAGGACUCUCGCAGGCCAUCUUUACAUUAAUCAUCUGAGAGCCCUCUUUCUAGCUUUCCAUAGCCAUCUAGGACACGCUGCAACUUCUCAUGAACCUUCUUCUGAUGCUUGACCAUACCCAAGUUUUGCUCAUCCAAAAAAAUAGCAUUUUGGCUGGUCAGCGCUGCAUUACUCCUGAGUAGCUCAUUCUGACCUUGCAUUACGCUUUCCAGCAUUUGCCCCAUUGCUGCAGCUUUAGCUUUAGCUUCUAACUUGGUCACUCUAGCGUAUGUGGAAGCAGCAAUAUGCAGGAUCUGAGCGGUGCUAGCUUCCAUUGCAGUAUUCUUUGAUUUCCCUUUGCUAAGGGCCAAUCAAUUCUUUAACACCUUUUUAGUCAUAAAUUGAUUGAAUGCGAACUCGCUGGUCAGCAUCUCAGGCAUUUGAUCCAGUCUUUCCUCAAGAGAUUUGAAUGCUGCUUGAGGUUCAGAAGUGCUUGCCUUAGCAGCCUCUGGUGAUUGUCGAUGAGAGUUGGAUGAACCGCUGUCCACUGGUUAUUCGUGUUAUUUUUUCUUUGGCUCAGGUAAUAGUUCCAGGGUGGCUUCCUUCAGCACUAUCAUUUGGUGCUCUGCUUCAUACUCCUUAUGUUCCCUCUCCACUUUCACAGUUUGGAAAUAUCCGCUUGAAUCACCGUUGGAGUUGAGUCAAUGGCUUCCACCAUUUCAACAAUUUAACCAAAACCUUCAUUGCCUUCCACUUUCUUCGGUCGUGCUGCUAUUCCUUCUCCAAUCUCUCUACUUCAGCGAGCAUCCAAGCUUUCUUUUCAUUAAUUUCCCUUUCCCCCUCAUCAUCCUCAUCUUCAAUUAUUCUUCAGUCAGAUUUCGCUGAGGGCGGAGUUAAGGUAUUCGCCGGUUACACUUCCUUAGGAGUUUGGGGGUUGUACCUGAUUGUCUCUUCUUCGCUUGCCCCCAGGAUUGUUUUCUCUGCAGCUCUUGGCGACACCUGCAUUAUGGGUAACGUUGUUAUCACUGCUUCAACUUUGGUGGUUUCAUUGACAGGUUCAGUGGUGGUAGCAUUGGGGAUCUCAAUGGCUUAGACUUUGAAAGUCUAAACGGUCACGUCGAUGCCAUUGAUAUUUUCGUCAGUCAAAAUAGUCUUCCGAUCCUUUGGUCCAGCAGCAGCUGGCUCGCCCAUCCCCCACUGGUUAAAAAGAAUGAAUCAUCGCCUAUUGGACUUAUUUGGCGCAACGGAGUAGUGUCCUUCGGCUAGCUAGUUGGGAUAUUUGCUUGGGUGAUCUCUCAACUUGGGCAGAGGGUUCUCUUAUGGAGAUCCCAUUUCCUAGGCGGUACAGUGGGAUCUCAUCAUCCUUGUUUUUCUUCAACGCUUUACCCUUCCUUUUCUCCUUUCUCGUGAGCCUGGCGGCCAUCAUCUUCACCCUCAGCUUCUUAGUUGUUGGCUCCGGAGUGAAAUCAUCCACUAGCUUUGACCUUUUUUCUCUCUUCUCUCCAUCGGCUGCUUUCUCCUUUUCCGCUUCUUUUCUUCCUUUAUCACUUAUGGUCACUCAUUUCCCCUGGCCAUUUUCUUUCUUUCCUCCGUUUCCCGAGCCUAGCUCACAGUAGCCUCCUCCUUAUUGGCUUCCGAAGCUUCAUCAGACAUAAUUGUCUCUGAGUGUGGGCCAGCGAUGGCCUUGUCUAGUUUUUCUUCCGGUGAGCGGACCAACUCCUCCCCCACAACUUUUAUAUUUUUCUUUGGAGGCUAGACAAAGACGGUCACCUUCUUCUUCCUCUUCUUCUAAUUUGGGAUUGGGCUGAACCCCUUGUCCUCCAACUAUUUUUAUGAAACACAACUGGUUGUUGUGGUUCCAUUGUAAGUUCAGCGGUUGGAGCAGGCAGAUCCGUACCUGCUUUUCUACACAACUUAGUAAUCAAGGUCCCAUGACCUAAUGUUCGAUCAAUCUUUGAGCGGGCCCAUAUGUUCAUGCAGAUGAUGGCUCUCAAAUCAAUGUCAGCCUUUUUCUCCAAAACUGAGUGCAACACCACUAGGAAUUCGGGCUUGAUAUCGAAUGUGUGAGAAGUAAUCAUUUUUUGCUCAACGAUCAUUUCACCAAUUCCUUAUUAUCAUUGUCUACCGAUGCCAUCUUCAAAUUUCUUUUUUCACACAUGGGAGUGGUGGCAAAUGUGGUGUACACGACUGCAGCUCCAUCGAGUUGAACUUCUCAACUGCUUCCAACUUGGUCUUCAUUCCCCCAUCACAUAGUGGAACAACCAUUCGAGAACUCGAUUGAUUUUCCUUGCAGAACAAUCUAUCCAUGUCCCUUAGACAUAAACAUUAUUGGGGUUUUCUACUUGCUCGAGGUUUCCGUAAAAUUCCCUCAUCAGCGAGACAUCCACUAAUUCAUUGAGAUUUUGAAUCACCAAAGACAGGCCUCUUUUUUCAAUCCAAUCCUUGAGUUGGCCUUGAAUUGUCUCGGCAGCGAACCCUAUCUCAUACACUAUCUUCAUACCCUUCGUCCGCUCAUAGUUGUCCGUUACUUUCUAGUUGACCAAGUGAAACUUGUUGCAGUCUGGGUUAGAUUCAAUAGUAGCGGUAGCUUCUGCAGUAACUUUCUUGGUUGAAAGUGUGUGCUCUAUAAAUAAGGAAAGGCUCAUAUGGGGCAGUUUACAAAGCUCGGGAUAGAAGGACCUCAGAAUUAGUUGCUAUCAAAGUGAUCUCCUUAUCUGAAGGGGAAGAGGUAUAUGAAGAAAUUCGUGGUGAAAUUGAGAUGUUGCAGCAAUGUAGUCAUCCUAAUGUUGUUCGCUAUCUUGGGAGCUACCAAGGAGAAGAAUUUCUCUGGAUAGUAAUGGAGUACUGUGGAGGUGGAAGUGUCGCUGACUUGAUUAAUGUCACUGAUGAGCCUCUUGAGGAGUAUCAAAUAGCAUAUAUAUGCAGAGAAGCAUUGAAGGGUCUGUCGUAUCUGCAUUCAAUUUUCAAAGUACAUAGAGAUAUUAAAGGUGGUAAUAUUUUGUUGACUGAGCAAGGAGAAGUUAAAUUGGGUAAGUCAUAUUAUGAUGAUUCUGUGACAGUUGCAUUCACCACAUUGUCCUAAAAUUUUGCACCAGAGGGGUCAGAGGCACUUUGCCUGUUGGUUUGACCAUGAGAGUCAGUUAGGAAGGAUAUGUUGAAUUCAUAAUUGAUUUCCUGCAAUAUUGAUUUGAUAUUCAUACAAUCGCCUCUAAGAGCCAAAAACAACUACAAGUGAUUUUAGAGUUGCUGCACAGUUGACGAGAACUAUGUCCUAGCGUAACACGUUCAUUGGAACCCCACAUUGGAUGGCUCCUGAAGUUAUUCAAGAAAGUCGUUAUGAUGGAAAGGUAGAUGUGUGGGCUCUUGGAGUGUCUGCAAUUGAAAUGACAGAGGGAGUUCCUCCGAGAGCAACUGUUCAUCCUAUGAGAGUAAGUAUCAUUUUGUCUUUAUCUCACUUGUUUCUUACACUAGUUUGUGCUUCUAUCUGCAUAUCUUGUCAUAGUAAUCUAUGCAAAGACUCCAUUGAUGCAUAUCUUGUGUCAAAGUGAAUCAGUAUGGUCUAAUUCUGAGUUAUUAAUGUGUUUGUGGAGUCCUGGUUGUUUCCAUGAUCAGCCAUUGUUUGCCUAAACCUUUGUUAUUAUUUUUUUGGGUAUGUGUGUGAUGAAAUAUACACACUGAGAACCCUGCCAAGAUGUGGAAUGCUUCUGAGUUUUGAGAAAUGAAAAUCCAUUUAC
RNA transcript from Andrographis paniculata, 4788 nucleotides. It is a transcript of the gene named serine/threonine-protein kinase 1-like, with no coding region annotated. The record is from RefSeq and is a predicted model, not a curated record. NCBI's taxonomy places the organism in Eukaryota, Viridiplantae, Streptophyta, Magnoliopsida, Lamiales, Acanthaceae. The transcript is spliced from 7 exons.